AACGAACGCUGGCGGCAGGCCUAACACAUGCAAGUCGAGCGAGGACUUCGGGUCUAGCGGCGGACGGGGGAGUAACGCGUGGGAAGGUGCCCUUCUCUACGGAAUAGCCCUGGGAAACGGGGAGUAAUACCGUAUACGCCCUAUUGGGGAAAGAUUUAUCGGAGAAGGAUCAGCCCGCGUUGGAUUAGGUAGUUGGUGGGGUAAUGGCCUACCAAGCCGACGAUCCAUAGCUGGUUUGAGAGGAUGAUCAGCCACCCUGGGACUGAGACACGGCCCAGACUCCUACGGGAGGCAGCAGUGGCGAAUCUUAGACAAUGGGGGCAACCCUGAUCUAGCCAUGCCGCGUGAGUGAUGAAGGCCUUAGGGUUGUAAAGCUCUUUCAGCUGGGAAGAUCAUGACGGUACCAGCAGAAGAAGCCCCGGCUAACUCCGUG
RNAcentral lists this ribosomal RNA (433 nucleotides) under uncultured bacterium. RNAcentral describes it as "partial 16S ribosomal RNA". It matches the Rfam family "Bacterial small subunit ribosomal RNA", at positions 29 to 507 of the family's 1533-position model. The record is from RNAcentral.